This 120-nucleotide ribosomal RNA is filed under the name uncultured bacterium. RNAcentral's name for it is "partial 16S ribosomal RNA". It matches the Rfam family "Bacterial small subunit ribosomal RNA", at positions 215 to 334 of the family's 1533-position model. The record is from RNAcentral.
UCGCCUGGGGAUGGGCCCGCGUCAGAUUAGCUAGUUGGUGAGGUAACGGCUCACCAAGGCGACGAUCUGUAGCUGGUUUGAGAAGAUGAUCAGCCACACUGGGACUGAGACACGGCCCAG